Molecule: ribosomal RNA, 580 nt
Filed under: Metarhizium sp. C_1_BESC_137c
Lineage: Eukaryota; Fungi; Ascomycota; Sordariomycetes; Hypocreales; Clavicipitaceae
Description: eukaryotic LSU rRNA
Rfam family: Eukaryotic large subunit ribosomal RNA
Source: RNAcentral
ACCUCGAAUCAGGUAGGAAUACCCGCUGAACUUAAGCAUAUCAAUAAGCGGAGGAAAAGAAACCAACAGGGAUUGCCCCAGUAACGGCGAGUGAAGCGGCAACAGCUCAAAUUUGAAAUCUGGGCCCCCAGGGUCCGAGUUGUAAUUUGCAGAGGAUGCUUUUGGCAAGGUGCCUUCCGAGUUCCCUGGAACGGGACGCCAUAGAGGGUGAGAGCCCCGUCUGGUUGGAUACCGAGCCUCUGUAAAGCUCCUUCGACGAGUCGAGUAGUUUGGGAAUGCUGCUCUAAAUGGGAGGUAUAUGUCUUCUAAAGCUAAAUAUUGGCCAGAGACCGAUAGCGCACAAGUAGAGUGAUCGAAAGAUGAAAAGCACUUUGAAAAGAGGGUUAAAUAGUACGUGAAAUUGUUGAAAGGGAAGCGCUCAUGACCAGACUUGGGCCCGGUGAAUCAUCCAGCGCUCGUCGCUGGUGCACUUUGCCGGGCUCAGGCCAGCAUCAGUUCGCUCCGGGGGACAAAGGCUCUGGGAAUGUGGCUCCUCCGGGAGUGUUAUAGCCCACUGCGCAAUACCCUGGGGCGGACUGAG